RNAcentral lists this ribosomal RNA (468 nucleotides) under uncultured bacterium. RNAcentral's name for it is "partial 16S ribosomal RNA". It matches the Rfam family "Bacterial small subunit ribosomal RNA", at positions 28 to 507 of the family's 1533-position model. The record is from RNAcentral.
GACGAACGCUGGCGGCGUGCUUAACACAUGCAAGUCGAACGGAAAGGCCCUGCUUUUGUGGGGUGCUCGAGUGGCGAACGGGUGAGUAACACGUGAGUAACCUGUCCCUGACUUUGGGAUAACUUCAGGAAACUGGGGCUAAUACCGGAUAGGAGCUCCUGCUGCAUGGUGGGGGUUGGAAAGUUUCGGCGGUUGGGGAUGGACUCGCGGCCUAUCAGCUUGUUGGUUUGGUAGUGGCUGAGCAAGGCAUUGACGGGUAGCCGGCCUGGGCGGGUGACCGGACACGCUACAACUGGGCUGCGACACAGCCUCCUACCGUACGCAAGAGUGGAGAGUAGUACACUACGGGAUGAAGGCAGGUGCAACGAAGCCACGUCGGGGAAAUCGGGCAUCGGGUAGUAUACCACUUUCGUCUGAGACGAGGCGUUAAUGACGGUACCGGGUAAAGAAGCCCCGGCUAACUACGUG